AUACGUAGGUGACAAGCGUUAUCCGGAUUUACUGGGCGUAAAGGGCGUGUAGGCGGUCUUGCAAGUCAGAAGUGAAAUUCCUGAGCUCAACUCGGGCGCUGCUUCUGAAACUGCAGGACUUGAGUGCUGGAGGGGAUAGCGGAAUUCCUAGUGGAGCGGUAAAAUGCGCAGAUAUUAGGAAGAACACCGGUGGCGAAGGCGGCUAACGGGACAGUAACUGACGCUGAGGAGCGAAAGCGUGGGGAUAGAACAGGAUUAGAUACCCUGGUAUUCCACGCCGUAAACGAUGAUGACUAACCGCCGGGCGGAGUGACGUCCGGCAGCCAAGCGAAAGCGAUAAGUCAUCCACCUGGGGAGUACGGCCGCAAGGCUGAAACUCAAAGGAAUUGACGGGG
RNAcentral lists this ribosomal RNA (395 nucleotides) under uncultured bacterium. Its description in RNAcentral is "partial 16S ribosomal RNA". It matches the Rfam family "Bacterial small subunit ribosomal RNA", at positions 523 to 918 of the family's 1533-position model. The record is from RNAcentral.